Molecule: long non-coding RNA, 788 nt
Organism: Myotis davidii
Lineage: Eukaryota; Metazoa; Chordata; Mammalia; Chiroptera; Vespertilionidae
Exons: 2
Source: RefSeq, a predicted model, not a curated record
GGAGAGAGGGACUCUGCCUGUCCCCGGAGGGCCCGGAGGCCGCUCUGACGGCAGCAUUUCCGUGGUGGGUCUUGCAGGUCGCACAGCGUCCCCCUGGCCCAGGAGGUCUGGGAGGGGCAUUCAGGCAGACGGGACGACCUGGGGAAGCAGAACUGGAGCAGCUUCUUCGGCCGAAUGUCGUCCUCAACAGCACACGUGUCCGACGGGAGCCUCAGAGCCCUGACAGCCAACGGACCUGCCGCUGAAAUAAGCCCACAAGCAAAACGAGAAAUAACCCGCGGGCAUUACCCCUCCUCAGCGGUGACAGCAGAGACGCUCCAGGGACCUCCCAGGCGUCACCUCUCCAGGGACCUCCCAGGCGUCACCUCUCCAGGGACCUCCCAGGCGUCAUGCUCGCUCCCUGGCCCAGGCGUCACCUCUCCAGGGACCUCCCAGGCGUCAUGCUCGCUCCCUGGCCCAGGCCAGCACCUCUGCUCCUGCGGUCCCAGCAGGACGCUCACACGGGGGCUUUGCUGGGGACAACGUGCAGUGUCCUGAGAGAGCGCGUUCCCGCGCCAGACCCCUCCCCAGACCACCUGCUCUGGACGCCGGGCUCAGGGCCUCCUCUCCUGGCCUGAGACCCACGUGCUCCGCGAGCCGUCGCCGCCUGAGGAGGAAAGACAGAGAGACUUUAGCUAAUCCCCUCGGCAGUCCUGGGUGGUCCUUUAAGCCCUUCCCCAAAACACAGGGUUGUGUGGUCUUCUCUCUGCCGUGAUGAAAUAAUAAUAAUAAUAAUAGUUGCCGUUUAA